This 118-nucleotide small nucleolar RNA is filed under the name Echinops telfairi (small Madagascar hedgehog). RNAcentral's name for it is "Small nucleolar RNA SNORA61 (ENSETEG00000026215.1)". Lineage: Eukaryota; Metazoa; Chordata; Mammalia; Afrosoricida; Tenrecidae. The record is from RNAcentral.
AACUACCACAUUUACCAAUGAGCCCUAAGCAUUGGUCUGAGUGGUUCCAAAAGGAGGAAAAGUAAAAGUGAAGCUAACUUAAAUUCUUUUGUGAUAUGCAAGCUAGUUUCCAACAACA